UGCCAGACUCCUACGGGAGGCAGCAGUGGGGGAUAUUGCACAAUGGGGGAAACCCUGAUGCAGCGACGCCGCGUGAGUGAAGAAGUAUUUCGGUAUGUAAAGCUCUAUCAGCAGGGAAGAAAAAAGACGGUACCUGACUAAGAAGCCCCGGCUAACUACGUGCCAGCAGCCGCGGUAAUACGUAGGGGGCAAGCGUUAUCCGGAUUUACUGGGUGUAAAGGGAGCGUAGACGGCAGUGCAAGUCCGGAGUGAAAGCCCGGGGCUCAACCCUGGGACUGCUCUGGAAACUGUAAAGCUGGAGUGCGGGAGGGGCAGGCGGAAUUCCUGGUGUAGCGGUGAAAUGCGUAGAUAUCAGGAGGAACACCGGCGGCGAAGGCGGCCUGCUGGACCGUAACUGACGUUGAGGCUCGAAAGCGUGGGGAGCAAACAGGAUUAGAUACCCCUGUAAA
RNAcentral lists this ribosomal RNA (449 nucleotides) under uncultured bacterium. RNAcentral's name for it is "partial 16S ribosomal RNA". It matches the Rfam family "Bacterial small subunit ribosomal RNA", at positions 329 to 793 of the family's 1533-position model. The record is from RNAcentral.